CUACCGGGGUAUCUAAUCCUGUUUGCUCCCCAUGCUUUCGCACCUCAGCGUCAGUAUUUGGCCAGAAGGCUGCCUUCGCCAUCGGUAUUCCUCCAGAUCUCUACGCAUUUCACCGCUACACCUGGAAUUCUACCUUCCUCUCCAAUACUCUAGCCGUGCAGUUUUGAAUGCAGUGCCCAGGUUAAGCCCGGGGAUUUCACAUCCAACUUACACAACCGCCUACGCGCGCUUUACGCCCAGUAAUUCCGAUUAACGCUUGCACCCUCUGUAUUACCGCGGCUGCUGGCAC
RNAcentral lists this ribosomal RNA (289 nucleotides) under uncultured Moraxellaceae bacterium. RNAcentral's name for it is "partial 16S ribosomal RNA". The record is from RNAcentral. Lineage: Bacteria; Pseudomonadati; Pseudomonadota; Gammaproteobacteria; Moraxellales; Moraxellaceae.